This 253-nucleotide ribosomal RNA is filed under the name uncultured bacterium. RNAcentral describes it as "partial 16S ribosomal RNA". It matches the Rfam family "Bacterial small subunit ribosomal RNA", at positions 524 to 776 of the family's 1533-position model. The record is from RNAcentral.
UACGUAGGGGGCAAGCGUUGUCCGGAUUUAUUGGGGGUAAAGAGCGUGUAGGCGGCCAGGUAGGUCCGUUGUGAAAACUCGAGGCUCAACCUCGAGACGUCGAUGGAAACCAUCUGGCUAGAGUCCGGAAGAGGAGAGUGGAAUUCCUGGUGUAGCGGUGAAAUGCGCAGAUAUCAGGAAGAACACCCGUGGCGAAGGCGGCAUUCUGGACCGACAUUGACGCUGAGGAGCGAAAGCCAGGGGAGCAAACGGG